RNAcentral lists this long non-coding RNA (1050 nucleotides) under Chrysolophus pictus (golden pheasant). RNAcentral describes it as "lncRNA (ENSCPIG00010003995.1)". The record is from RNAcentral. Lineage: Eukaryota; Metazoa; Chordata; Aves; Galliformes; Phasianidae.
CCGGGCCGUCGCCCCCGCCGUCCCCUGCGCCCAGCUGCCCCUCCUAUGGCAGCUCUCACAGCUCCGCGCCGGCGCCGCCACCGAGGUGCGGUGACAGCAGGGAGGACAGAUGGCCGUGUCACCUCUGUCACCUCUGUCACCUCUGUCAUCUCUGUCACCAUCACUGUGUGUCACCUCUGCCACCUCUGUCACCUCUGUCACCAAAACUGUGUCACCUCUGUCACCUCUGUCAGCUCUGUCACCUCUGUCACCAUCACUGUGUGUCAUCUCUGUCACCUCUAUCACCUCUGUCACCAUUGCUGUGUGGCACCUCUGUCAUCUCUGUCACCAUCAUUGUGUGUGAGCUCUGUCACCUUUGUCACCACUGUCGCCAUUGCUGUGUGUCACUUUUGUCACCUGUGUCACCUCUCUGUCACUACUUCCAGCAGUGUCACUGUGUCACCAUUGCUGUAUGUCAUCGUGUGUCACCAUACGUCCCCACAUGUCCCCAUGCGUCCCCAUGUGUCCCCAUAUGUCCCCAUGUGUCCCCACAUGUCACUCUGUGUCCCCACGUGUCCCCAUAUGUCCCCAUGCGUCACCAUAUGUCACUCUGUGUCCCCACAUGUCCCCACGUGUCUCCACGUGUCCCUGUGUGUCUCCACAUGUCCCCACGUGUCCUCAUAUGUCACCAUAUGUCACCCUGUGUGCCCACGUGUCCCCACGUGUCCCCAUAUGUCCCAUGUGUCCCCACGUGACCCCUUUUGUGUCCCCAUGUGUCCCCACAUGUCCCCAUGUGUCCCCAUGUGUGCCCGUAUCUCCCCACAUCUUCCCAUAUGUCCCCACAUGUCCCUGCAUGUCCCCAUGCCACCAUAUGUCACCCUGUGUGCCCACGUGUCCCUAUAUGUCCCCACGUGUCCCCACGUGUCCCCCUGUCCCCCGCUGUCCCCAGGAGGAGCUGCAGUCCCUGCAGGGCACCACGAGCUCCUUCUGUGCGCUGUGUCAGAGCGCGCUGAGCGACGGCGACGGAGCUGUGAGGGAGGAGGUGGGGAGGGGGGGCAGCGGGGGGCNNNN